This 227-nucleotide unclassified non-coding RNA is filed under the name Hevea brasiliensis (rubber tree). The record is from RNAcentral. Lineage: Eukaryota; Viridiplantae; Streptophyta; Magnoliopsida; Malpighiales; Euphorbiaceae.
GUUAGUCUUUGCAUCAGCCUGUGGAUCAUAAGAAAUGUAAAUACAGAAUGUGAAAAAGGUUAAUCAUUAAAGAGCACUUGAUAUAUCAUUAUGGCAGUUAUAAAAACAAUACUGAAUACUCUUGAAUGAAUAAUAUGAUAUUGGAAGGCUGUGGCAAUGAUGGUGACCACAAUGCCAAAAAACAGUUUAGAGGAAGGAACAAUCUCUGAAGACAUAUUGUGGAUGUA